Molecule: long non-coding RNA, 1233 nt
Filed under: Anser brachyrhynchus (Pink-footed goose)
Lineage: Eukaryota; Metazoa; Chordata; Aves; Anseriformes; Anatidae
Description: lncRNA (ENSABRG00000011852.1)
Source: RNAcentral
AAACGGUCUUUUAAAAUCAACCUUAUCUUUAAAUCACAGCGACAGCAGAAGCUGUUGUAGAUACACGAUGAUACAUAAUUGAAAAGGACAAAGGGUGAGGGUUUUAUUUAAAAAGAAUGGGGUCUGAGCCGUGGCCGCUUCAUCAGUCAGCCUUCGCCUGGUAAGUUCCUAGGGCUGUUGGUGUACUUAGUUCAGGUGGAGACUGCUCUGAUCACUUACGUAACCUUUAUUUAUUUUUUUUUCUUUUUAACAUUAAGAUGGGGAGAAAAUGUCCUGAAAAUGUUCCUACCACCUUGCUGCAGAUUCCCCUGGGGCUUGCGCACUGUUUGAGAAGGCGAGGCGUGAAGGAACAGCCUGGUUCGGUCACUGUCUGUGCAAAGUGCUUUUGUUUUCAGGGUGUUUUAUUUCUGUGAAACAAUGAAUGGUUAAAAGAAAAAAAAAAAGGAAAGAAAUUAAUGUAGGCUACAACACAGAAUUAUUGCACCAAAGCUGAAACAAGGGUAAAAAGUAGCAACAAUUGCAUAAUGGAACUAUAAAAAAGCUCCUUCCCUCUGCUUGCAGGACAUAAUACCAGCUCACAACACAAUAUAAUUAGAUUGCCACAUCACCCCUUGUAAAACCAGAAAGAAAAGAAAUGUAGGGAGGCAUUAAAACUCCUUUCAUUUUCUAAUGCCUUUGGAGAGCUAUUGGCCAUAGAGGACUUGCUCUGGCAAAAAGCUCUAGUGAGCUAUUAGGUUUUUAACUAUUUUAUAGUAUUUUUUAUUGUUGCCAGGCCUAGUUUUUCAGCGCAAUGACUUUGCCCUCUUUCCCUCCUCCAGCCUGUCGUACGUUUAUCAAUCUUACAGAUACCAUUCGCUAUAAAGAUAGGUCCGGGCUCUUCCGAACCGCGGUGUCCUGCUGCCAUGCCCUUCCUCCCCUCCGCUUUUUUUCGAGCCCAUUAUGCAGGUUUGUCAUGUGAGAACGCGUGCUCCCAGCGGUGUUGGAGGUGCUUGGCCAUAUGUCACGAGAUGAAACUUCUCUCUUUGCUCGAGGUGAAACAUCAAAUUGAUUCAGAUUUUCUGUUGAGAGAUGGAAGUUACUUUCACAAUAAUAUUCGCCCAUUUUCUCUUUACUGGAUUGUUAAUUUCACAAAGAGAUAUUGGAGAAGCUGUUACUGGAAAAAAUAAGCGCACUUUGAAUGGGAAAAUAGAGGAUUUAUGUUUAUAUAAAUAAACAUAGGGGGUAAGUAGGCCA